CGGAGCUAGAUGCUGAGGACGUAGCUUGCUAUUGAAUCUUGUUUAGCUUAGUGGCGGACGGGUGAGUAACGCGUGAGCAACCUACCUUUCAGAGGGGGAUAACGUUUGGAAACGAACGCUAAUACCGCAUGAUAUUAUUGAGCAGCAUUGCCUGAUAAUCAAAGGAGCAAUCCGCUGAAAGAUGGGCUCGCGUCCGAUUAGGUAGUUGGCGGGGUAACGGCCCACCAAGCCGACGAUCGGUAGCCGGACUGAGAGGUUGAACGGCCACAUUGGGACUGAGACACGGCCCAGACUCCUACGGGAGGCAGCAGUGAGGGAUAUUGGUCAAUGGGGGAAACCCUGAACCAGCAACGCCGCGUGAGGGAAGACGGUUUUCGGAUUGUAAACCUCUGUCCUCUGUGAAGAUGAUGACGGUAGCAGAGGAGGAAGCUCCGGCUAACUACGUGCCAGCAGCCGCGGUAAUACGUAGGGAGCAAGCGUUGUCCGGAUUUACUGGGUGUAAAGGGUGCGUAGGCGGCUUUGCAAGUCAGAAGUGAAAUUUUUGGGGCUUACCCAUAAACUGCUUUUGAAAAUGCCGGGGCUUGAUUGAAGUAAAGGUAGGCGGAAUUCCCCGGUGUAGCGGUGAAAUGCGUAGAGAUCGGGAGGAACACCAGUGGCGAAGGCGGCUUACUGGGCUUUUAACUGACGCUGAGGCACGAAAGCGUGGGUAGCAAACAGGAUUAGAUACCCUGGUAGUCCACGCUGUAAACGAUGAUUACUAGGUGUGGGUGGACUGACCCCAUCCGUGCCGGAGUUAACACAAUAAGUAAUCCACCUGGGGAGUACGGCCGCAAGGCUGAAACUCAAAGGAAUUGACGGGGGCCCGCACAAGCAGUGGAGUAUGUGGAUUAAUUCGAUGCAACGCGAAGAACCUUACCAGGUCUUGACAUCCCGCUAACGAGGCAGAGAUGCGUUAGGUGCCCUUCGGGGAAAGCGGAGACAGGUGGUGCAUGGUUGUCGUCAGCUCGUGUCGUGAGAUGUUGGGUUAAGUCCCGCAACGAGCGCAACCCUUACGGUUAGUUGCUACGCAAGAGCACUCUAGCCGGACCGCCGUUGACAAAACGGAGGAAGGUGGGGAUGAUGUCAAAUCAUCAUGCCCCUUAUGACCUGGGCCUCACACGUACUACAAUGGCCGUUAACAGAGGGAGGCAAAGCCGCGAGGCAGAGCAAAACCCUAAAAACGGUCUCAGUUCGGAUCGUAGGCUGCAACCCGCCUGCGUGAAGUUGGAAUUGCUAGUAAU
RNAcentral lists this ribosomal RNA (1280 nucleotides) under uncultured bacterium. RNAcentral describes it as "bacterial SSU rRNA". It matches the Rfam family "Bacterial small subunit ribosomal RNA", at positions 62 to 1342 of the family's 1533-position model. The record is from RNAcentral.